Molecule: transfer RNA, 71 nt
Filed under: Nephila pilipes (giant wood spider)
Lineage: Eukaryota; Metazoa; Arthropoda; Arachnida; Araneae; Nephilidae
Description: tRNA-Thr
Rfam family: tRNA
About the family: Transfer RNA (tRNA) molecules are approximately 80 nucleotides in length. Their secondary structure includes four short double-helical elements and three loops (D, anti-codon, and T loops). Further hydrogen bonds mediate the characteristic L-shaped molecular structure. tRNAs have two regions of fundamental functional importance: the anti-codon, which is responsible for specific mRNA codon recognition, and the 3' end, to which the tRNAs corresponding amino acid is attached (by aminoacyl-tRNA synthetases). tRNAs cope with the degeneracy of the genetic code in two manners: having more than one tRNA (with a specific anti-codon) for a particular amino acid; and 'wobble' base-pairing, i.e. permitting non-standard base-pairing at the 3rd anti-codon position.
Source: RNAcentral
GCAGUCGUGGCUGAGUGGUUAGCCGAACACACCUGUGUUGUGUUACGUGGGUUCUAAUCCCACCGACUGCC